GAGAGAGAGAGAAAAGAAUGUCUAUUUAAGUCAUGGUUACACUGGACCCAAGACUUGGUGUACACGCUAUAAAGGGUGCAAUAUACUACAAGAGCACACUUACAAAGCUACUCAGGUAAGCUUUGAACUGCAGAAUAGAGGGAUGACUUAAGGUAAAAAAAAACAAAAAAUGCCCUUAUGUCAAUGGAUAUUCAUCAAUAAGGGAGGAGUGGAGGAGGAGGUCAAGGAGGAGCAGAGAGAAAGAGAGAGAGAGAGGGUGAGAGAAAGAGAGAGAGUUGAGGUAGGAGGACAUAGCUGAAGAUAUAACAAGUGACCCACCUGGCCUUCUUUCAAAUACACAGGCUCAAGACCAGAAAUUUUAGGGAGAGAGAGUACAGUCACUUAUAUCAACUAUUUGACUGAUAUUUAUUUAAUCAACCCUAGAAGGAUGAAAAGCAAAGUGAAUUUAGCAAGAUUUGAACUCAACAUAAAGGGCCAUAAUUAAAUACUGAAAGGUAUUUCGUUUGAUGUUCUAAUGAUUUUGUCAGUUCACUGCCCAAAACAUAAUAAUAAUUCUUUUAAAUUUUGGCACAAGGCCUGAAAUUUUGGGGGAGGUAACUAGCUGAUUACAUCGACAACCAGUAUCUGACUGGCAUUUAUUUUAUUGACCCCUGAAGAAUGAAAGACAAAGUCAACCUGAAUUGAAUUUGAACUCACAAUGUAAAGUUGGAAGAAAUACUACUAAGCACUGUGCCUGACACACUAGCAAUUUUGUCAGCUGGUCUUAAUAAUAAUAAUCCUUUCUACUAAAGGCACAAGGCCUGAAAUUUGUUGGGAGAGGAUUAGACAAUUACAUCGAUCCCAGUGCUUCUCUAGUACUUAAUUUAUCGACCCUGAAAGGAAGAAAGG
Molecule: long non-coding RNA, 888 nt
Organism: Octopus sinensis (East Asian common octopus)
Lineage: Eukaryota; Metazoa; Mollusca; Cephalopoda; Octopoda; Octopodidae
Exons: 3
Source: RefSeq, a predicted model, not a curated record